GCAUAUCAAUAAGCGGAGGAAAAGAAACUAACAAGGAUUCCCCUAGUAACGGCGAGUGAAGCGGGAAGAGCUCAAAUUUGAAAUCUGGUGGCCUCAGGUCAUCCGAGUUGUAAUCUAUAGAAGUGUUUUCCGUGCUGGCUCAUGUACAAGUCCCUUGGAACAGGGCGUCAUAGAGGGUGAGAAUCCCGUCCUUGACAUGAACUACCAGUGCUCUGUGAUACAUUUUCAACGAGUCGAGUUGUUUGGGAAUGCAGCUCAAAAUGGGUGGUAAAUUCCAUCUAAAGCUAAAUAUUGGCGAGAGACCGAUAGCGAACAAGUACCGUGAGGGAAAGAUGAAAAGCACUUUGGAAAGAGAGUUAAACAGUAUGUGAAAUUGUUAAAAGGGAAACGAUUGAAGUCAGUCGUGCUCUUUGGAUUCAGCCGGUUCUGCCGGUGUACAUCCUUUGAGUGGGGUCAACAUCAGUUUUGAUCGCUGGAUAAAGGCUGGAGGAACGUAGCACCCUCGGGUGAACUUAUAGCCUCCUGUCACAUACAGUGGUUGGGACUGAGGAACGCAGCACGCCUUUAUGGCCGGGAUUCGUCCACGUACGUGCUUAGGAUGUUGACAUAAUGGCUUUAAACGACCCGUCUUGAAACACGGACC
RNAcentral lists this ribosomal RNA (643 nucleotides) under uncultured fungus. Its description in RNAcentral is "eukaryotic LSU rRNA". It matches the Rfam family "Eukaryotic large subunit ribosomal RNA", at positions 38 to 667 of the family's 3401-position model. Lineage: Eukaryota; Fungi. The record is from RNAcentral.